RNAcentral lists this ribosomal RNA (314 nucleotides) under uncultured bacterium. Its description in RNAcentral is "bacterial SSU rRNA". It matches the Rfam family "Bacterial small subunit ribosomal RNA", at positions 28 to 334 of the family's 1533-position model. The record is from RNAcentral.
GAUGAACGCUGGCGGCGUGCCUAACACAUGCAAGUCGAGCGCGGUCCCUUUGGUGCUUGCACCAAAGACGACUGAGCGGCGACGGGUGAGUAACGCGUGAGGAACCUGCCUUUCAGUGGGGGACAACAGUUGGAAACGACUGCUAAUACCGCAUAACAUAUCGGGACCGCAUGUUUCUGAUAUCAAAGCUUUAUGUGCUGAAAGAUGGCCUCGCGUCUGAUUAGCUAGUUGGAGGGGUAACGGCCCACCAAGGCGACGAUCAGUAGCCGGUCUGAGAGGAUGAACGGCCACAUUGGGACUGAGAUACGGCCCAG